RNAcentral lists this long non-coding RNA (207 nucleotides) under Lathyrus oleraceus (garden pea). RNAcentral describes it as "Pisum sativum (pea) long non-coding RNA (PSAT_LNC001162)". Lineage: Eukaryota; Viridiplantae; Streptophyta; Magnoliopsida; Fabales; Fabaceae. The record is from RNAcentral.
AAUAAUUUUUUUUUUGAAUAUUUUAAGAUGGGAAUGAUAUUUCGGUAAUAUUAAUCUAAGGCAUUCUUGCAUUAUUUUUGAAUUUCUUUUGGCAAAAUUUUCAGGUAUCCGUUUUCCUUAUGAGUACCUCAAUGUGCACAUUAGAACUCUUUGUGACCAGAGCUACCAGAUAUGUGCUCUAUUCCAAGAGGUAAAGAUGAAAAAUUU